AGUGAACGCUGGCGGUAGGCCUAACACAUGCAAGUCGAACGGCAGCACAGUAAGAGCUUGCUCUUACGGGUGGCGAGUGGCGGACGGGUGAGGAAUACAUCGGAAUCUACUUUUUCGUGGGGGAUAACGUAGGGAAACUUACGCUAAUACCGCAUACGACCUACGGGUGAAAGCAGGGGAUCUUCGGACCUUGCGCGAUUGAAUGAGCCGAUGUCGGAUUAGCUAGUUGGCGGGGUAAAGGCCCACCAAGGCGACGAUCCGUAGCUGGUCUGAGAGGAUGAUCCGCCACACUGGCACUGAGGCACGGUCCAGACUCCUACGGGAGGCAGCAGUGGGGAAUAUUGGACAAUGGGCGCAAGCCUGAUCCAGCCAUACCGCGUGGGUGAAGAAGGCCUUCGGGUUGUAAAGCCCUGUUGUUGGGAAAGAAAAGCAGCAGGUUAAUACCCCGCUGUUCUGACGGUACCCAAAGAAUAAGCACCGGCUAACUUCGUG
This 492-nucleotide ribosomal RNA is filed under the name uncultured bacterium. RNAcentral's name for it is "partial 16S ribosomal RNA". It matches the Rfam family "Bacterial small subunit ribosomal RNA", at positions 29 to 507 of the family's 1533-position model. The record is from RNAcentral.